Molecule: ribosomal RNA, 494 nt
Filed under: uncultured Desulfobulbus sp.
Lineage: Bacteria; Pseudomonadati; Thermodesulfobacteriota; Desulfobulbia; Desulfobulbales; Desulfobulbaceae
Description: bacterial SSU rRNA
Rfam family: Bacterial small subunit ribosomal RNA
Source: RNAcentral
GAAACUACAAAUAGAAGUUGACGGGGCCCGGCACAAGCGGUGGAGUAUGUGGUUAAUUCGAUGCAACGCGAAGAACCUUACCUGGUCUUGACAUCCCGGAGACCCUUAGGAAACUAGGGGGUGCUUCCAUCUGGAAGAAUCUGGAGACAGGUGCUGCAUGGCUGUCGUCAGCUCGUGUCGUGAGAUGUUGGGUUAAGUCCCGCAACGAGCGCAACCCUUGCCUUUAGUUGCCAGCAGUUCGGCUGGGCACUCUAAAGGGACUGCCGGUGUUAAACCGGAGGAAGGUGGGGAUGACGUCAAGUCCUCAUGGCCUUUAUGACCAGGGCUACACACGUACUACAAUGGCCGAUACAAAGGGCAGCGACACUGCGAGGUGAAGCCAAUCCCGUAAAAUCGGUCUCAGUCCGGAUUGGAGUCUGCAACUCGACUCCAUGAAGUUGGAAUCGCUAGUAAUCGUGGAUCAGCAUGCCACGGUGAAUACGUUCCCGGGCCUU